RNAcentral lists this ribosomal RNA (459 nucleotides) under uncultured bacterium. Its description in RNAcentral is "partial 16S ribosomal RNA". It matches the Rfam family "Bacterial small subunit ribosomal RNA", at positions 338 to 795 of the family's 1533-position model. The record is from RNAcentral.
CCUACGGGAGGCUGCAGUGAGGCAUAUUGGUCAAUGGGCGGGAGCCUGAACCAGCCAAGUCGCGUGAGGGACGACGGUCCUAUGGAUUGUACACCUCUUUUGUCGGGGAACACAGGAGCCCACGGGUGGGCGGAUGAGUGUACCCGAAGAACAAGCAUCGGCUAACUCCGUGACAGCAGCCGCGGUAAUACGGGUGAUGCGAGCGUUAUCCGGAUCUAUUGGGUUUAAAGGGUGCGUAGGCGGACGGUCAAGUCAGCGGUAAAAAUGCGGUGCUCAACGCCGUACAGCCGUUGAAACUGGCAGUCUUGAGUGGGCGAGAAGUAUGCGGAAUGCGUGGUGUAGCGGUGAAAUGCAUAGAUAUCACGCAGAACUCCGAUUGCGAAGGCAGCAUACCGGCGCCCUACUGACGCUGAGGCACGAAAGCGUGGGUAUCGAACAGGAUUAGAGACCCGAGUAGUC